GGGGAGCAAACAGGAUUAGAUACCCUGGUAGUCCACGCCGUAAACGAUGUCGACUUGGAGGUUGUGCCCUUGAGGCGUGGCUUCCGGAGCUAACGCGUUAAGUCGACCGCCUGGGGAGUACGGCCGCAAGGUUAAAACUCAAAUGAAUUGACGGGGGCCCGCACAAGCGGUGGAGCAUGUGGUUUAAUUCGAUGCAACGCGAAGAACCUUACCUACUCUUGACAUCCAGAGAACUUUCCAGAGAUGGAUUGGUGCCUUCGGGAACUCUGAGACAGGUGCUGCAUGGCUGUCGUCAGCUCGUGUUGUGAAAUGUUGGGUUAAGUCCCGCAACGAGCGCAACCCUUAUCCUUUGUUGCCAGCGGUUAGGCCGGGAACUCAAAGGAGACUGCCAGUGAUAAACUGGAGGAAGGUGGGGAUGACGUCAAGUCAUCAUGGCCCUUACGAGUAGGGCUACACACGUGCUACAAUGGCGCAUACAAAGAGAAGCGACCUCGCGAGAGCAAGCGGACCUCAUAAAGUGCGUCGUAGUCCGGAUUGGAGUCUGCAACUCGACUCCAUGAAGUCGGAAUCGCUAGUAAUCGUAGAUCAGAAUGCUACGGUGAAUACGUUCCCGGGCCUUGUACACACCGCCCGUCACACCAUGGGAGUGGGUUGCAAAAGAAGUAGGUAGCUUAACCUU
RNAcentral lists this ribosomal RNA (679 nucleotides) under Enterobacter sichuanensis. RNAcentral's name for it is "bacterial SSU rRNA". It matches the Rfam family "Bacterial small subunit ribosomal RNA", at positions 763 to 1442 of the family's 1533-position model. The record is from RNAcentral. Lineage: Bacteria; Pseudomonadati; Pseudomonadota; Gammaproteobacteria; Enterobacterales; Enterobacteriaceae.